RNAcentral lists this unclassified non-coding RNA (909 nucleotides) under Hevea brasiliensis (rubber tree). The record is from RNAcentral. Lineage: Eukaryota; Viridiplantae; Streptophyta; Magnoliopsida; Malpighiales; Euphorbiaceae.
CCUACCAAUACCUGCACUGCAGUGCACCACAAUUGGUCCAAGACUGGGUGGGACACUAAAUGUUUGUUUCAGUAUUUCACGAACAGCAAGAGUGUCCUUUGGAACUCCAUGGUCAGGCCAGUCGGGAUAUUGAAUGUGUAAAACACACAAAGGUGGUUCUUCUGACUCAAUAUAGUUCACCUCCAGAGUUCGCAACACUAAGGAGGCAUCACUCGUCAUAUAUUUUGUCACAAUACAUAUAUUGCCAAAUGUUCUAGGCCCAUCCUCUGCCUGAAAGUAGUCCCCACACUUCACCAUCUUGUAAUUGUCAACCAAUCGUGUAAGCAUCACAAUGACAGGACAGCGUUGCUGGAUUAUCAUUUCCCAGAAGUCUUCAAAGGUGUGUGCUAGUGGACCUUGUGUUGCAACAAACCGAGACACCCCUUCAGAUAUCUCUAUAAAGCUUGCAUUGAUAUAUCCCUUAGCUGACGGUCUGUAGUCUUUACAUGGGUCCAAAACAACCCUGUUAUUGUCAAAUGGCAGAACAUCAGUGUAUCGAUUUUUGCUAAUGUUUGCGCUGUUCAAAGCCAUUGAGCAUCUACUUUUCAUUUCUGAAGCUCUCAUCCUAGUUGCCUGCAACGUCAUGAACUCUUGGCGGAUUUUUUCGGGAGCAGAAAACCUCUUGUCCUUGAAGACUUUGAGUACUUCCAAGCAAUAACGCUGCUGAUCACUCGACAGAACGACUCUCUUAGGAACUGAAUCGUCGGAGAAAUCGAAAGGCUUGGGUGACGACGACGACGACGACACGAGUUUACCGGCGGUGGCCAUCGCUGAUAUCUGCCUCCGAUUCCGAAUGGACAGUCCGCACCCCGUGGUAGGAUGUUCACUUCACUGCUUUCUUUGUACGCAUUUUUUUAUUGAUAGACAGCA